RNAcentral lists this ribosomal RNA (504 nucleotides) under uncultured bacterium. Its description in RNAcentral is "partial 16S ribosomal RNA". It matches the Rfam family "Bacterial small subunit ribosomal RNA", at positions 28 to 523 of the family's 1533-position model. The record is from RNAcentral.
GAUAAACGCUAGCGGCAGGCUUAGCUCAUGCAAGUCGAGGGGCAGCAUAGAUUGUAGCAAUACAAUUGGUGGCGACCGGCGCACGGGUGCGUAACGCGUAUGCAACCUACCCGUCACAGGGGGAUAAUCCGGAGAAAUCUGGUCUAAUACCCCAUAACAUAUGGAUCGGCAUCGGUUCAUGUUGAAAUUUUCGGAGGUGACGGAUGGGCAUGCGUAGCAUUAGCUUGUUGGUGAGGUAACGGCUCACCAAGGCGACGAUGCUUAGGGGGACUGAGAGGUUUUCCCACCACACUGGUACUGAGACACGGACCAGACUCCUACGGGAGGCAGCAGUGAGGAAGAUUGGUCAAUGGGCGCAAGCCUGAACCAGCCAUGCCGCGUGCAGGAUGACGGCUCUAUGAGUUGUAAACUGCUUUUGUACGAGGGUAAAGUGGGUUACGUGUAACCUUUUGAAAGUAUCGUACGAAUAAGGAUCGGCUAACUCCGUGCCAGCAGCCGCCGUAA